AUGGACAAACGGCUGCCUCCGGGAAGUCGGGAGUCUCCAGCUGCAGGGACGUCGCCGGCCGGGUUACAAUCCUUCAGAUCCAGCGCGGUGGGGUGCGGUAAUCAGAUCGGCUCCAAAUUCUGGUUGAUGGUCUGCGUCGAGCACGACAUUGACCCCACCGGCUACUAUGUCGGCACCUCCGACCUGCAGCUCGAGCGCGUCAACGUCCAACACAAUGAGGCCUCCUGCGGUCGAUUUGUGCCCCACACGGUGCUCAUGGACCUCGAACGCUGCACCGUGCCCUACAGCCAGAUCUCCCCCUGCAAUUUUUGUGCUCACCGUGUAGGUGUCUUCUCCAAGGCGUCCUUAGCCUCUGAACAUCCCGCUCCAUCAAGGUACCUACCCAUGUUUCCAAUUCCCAAACUGAUUCUUUCACUUGGGCCAGAGGACAGUAGCCACCCUAAGAUUAAUCGUCUGAAUCCAUUGAUAGCACUGCUUUGUUUGAGUUGA
This 489-nucleotide ribosomal RNA is filed under the name Triticum aestivum (bread wheat). RNAcentral's name for it is "partial small subunit ribosomal RNA". The record is from RNAcentral. Lineage: Eukaryota; Viridiplantae; Streptophyta; Magnoliopsida; Poales; Poaceae.